UUCUAGCAAAGAGUCAGAGGGCUUAGUAUUGGAGGUGAUGCCUGCCCAAUGAUUGUAUUUAAAACCAAGUAAUAAUGAUUAUUGAUAUUGGUUAUCUUGGCUAAGAACAAUUAAAUGGCCGCGGUAAAAUUGACCGUAGAUAAUGUAGCGCAAUCAAUCGCUAAUUAAUUGUUGGCAAGUAUGAAUGGCUUAACGAAUGCUCCACUGUCUCAAAAUAAAACCCAGUGAAAUUGAAUUUGUAGUGAAGAUGCUACAUCCAAAUUGUUAGACGAGAAGACCCUAUUGAGCUUAACUGGAGGUUUAUAUAGUUAUUUUUUUUUUAACAACGGAGUAGAGUAUGUGGGAGGCWAUGUUUAGCUGGGUAAUGAAAAACCACUCUUUAAUUUUAAAAAGAACUAAAAUCGGAUUAUUAGAUUGAAAAGUGUAAGUUGGACAGUUUGGUUGGGGCGACCACCUUCUAAAGAGUAAGCAAGGUGUGCAUAUGGUGAAUAAUGGAUAAAAUAAAGGAAAGCUUGACAGUAAGGAGGACAUCCGAACUGACACGGGAAGGAACCUGUGGGUUAUAUUGACCCGUUAGUUUAGGGUGGGAUAGUUAACGAGCAACUGAAUAAAAGUUACCAUAGGGAUAACAAGCGUAAUAUUGUUUGAGAGUUUAUAUCGACGACGAUGUUUCGACCUCGAUGUUGAAUUACGAUUUCCUGGAGGGGCAGCGGCUUUCAAGGGUUGACUGUUCGUCCAUUAAAACU
RNAcentral lists this ribosomal RNA (746 nucleotides) under Leucilla nuttingi. RNAcentral describes it as "LSU rRNA". It matches the Rfam family "Bacterial large subunit ribosomal RNA", at positions 1820 to 2595 of the family's 2925-position model. The record is from RNAcentral. Lineage: Eukaryota; Metazoa; Porifera; Calcarea; Leucosolenida; Amphoriscidae.